This is a non-coding RNA of Leucoraja erinaceus (little skate), 1828 nucleotides long. NCBI's taxonomy places the organism in Eukaryota, Metazoa, Chordata, Chondrichthyes, Rajiformes, Rajidae. The record is from the annotation of a RefSeq genome assembly.
AUAUUGUUCCUCGUUAAAUUGUGUCCCAGGUGCUACAGUGCCAGGAAUCAUUGUCCUGGGAUUAAUCCUCAUCUUGUUUAUCUUUAUGUUUGCAGGUGUGCAUUCCGAAAUCGUGCUGAAUCAGCGGGCGGUGGAAACCGUUCGACCUGGCGGGUCACUCAAGUUGAGCUGUCAAACCAGCGGGUUCAAUCUUGGAGACACCUGGAUGAGCUGGCUCCGUCAGGUCCGCGGGCAGGAUCUGGAGUGGCUCCUUGAAUACAAAGACUCAUCGAGCAAAACCUUAGCCCCAGGGAUCCGGAACAGGUUUACACCGUCCAAAGAGACUUCAAGCGGCGUAUUUGUCAUGGAUAUGAAAGAUCUGAACGCUGAAGACUCCGCCGUUUAUUACUGUGCUAGAUACGACAAUCCUGCUGGACACUAUUACCUUCAAGACUGGGGAGUAGGAACCACGGUGACGGUGACUGACGCGGAUCCUUCUGCCCCCAACCUCUAUCCUCUUCGCACUUGUGUGGAUCCCAGCUCCAUGGACUCAUUCACCUUCGGCUGUUUGGCAAUGGACUACACCCCGAUGGGCACCACGCUCUCCUGGAAAAAAGAUAAUGAGCCGAUUACCACAGGAGUGAAGACGUAUCAGGCAUUAAAAAACAAGAGUGGAACAUACACGAGGAGCAGCCAAUUGACCAUCGCCAAGGCAGACGCGGAAAAGCGCACAAUCUACUGUGUGGUUCAGCAUGGCGGUAAAGUGAAUAACGUAAAAAUGCCAGAUCAAAUGGUGCAUCAUCCAGUCAUCGCCAUUACUCUGACUGAACACGAUGAACUAAAACGCAGCACGAAAGCGACUGCCUUGUGUUCGCUCACCGACAUCGGCCCACAGACAUUUUCCGUUACCUGGCUGAAGAAUGGUGAGCCUCUGGAUUCUGGCAUCGUCACCUCUCCCGCCUUCAAGCUGAACAGCACCUUCUCAGCGACCAGCCAGUUGACAUUCCCAACUUCAGAAUGGUUCGGAGGUGCUAUCUAUACCUGCCAGGUCGACCAAGGGGAGGAUCGGCUGAGCCAAAACAUCAGCAGGUCUCCAGAUGAUGAUUCCUGCCGCAAAGUAAAGAUUGCAAUCCACCCACCAACUGUGCAGCAGGAGUUAAUGGAGAUGACCGUGACUUUAACCUGCAUAGUCUCCAAUGCACCUGUUGGGAUCAAAGUGUCUUGGAGUCGAGGAAAGACGCCUUUGGAUUCAGAGAUCCUGUCCACAGAAAACGCAGAAGUUGUAGAGAGCAAAGCGAACAUCUCGACGCGUGACUGGAUGAGUGGGGAUGAGUUUGAUUGCGUAGUGAGCCAUGAUGAUAUGGCGACUCCAAAAACGAAAUCAAUCUACAAGAUGGCAGAUCCACAUCCCCGGGAACCGUCCGUCUCGGUUCUCCUGCCGCCGGCAGAAGAAGUCUCCGAUCACAAGACCAUCGCCCUCACCUGCUUUGUGAGAGGAUUCUCCCCUCGCAGGAUCUUCGUCACAUGGACAGUCGAUAACCAGCGGGUGCAUUCGAGCAACUACAGGAACACCGAGGUGGUGGCGGAGAACGGCGACAACUCCUUCUUCAUGUACAGCCUGUUGUCCAUUGGGGCAGAGCAAUGGGCGAGCGGAGCCUCGUUCUCCUGUGUGGUGGGACACGAAACACUACCCAUGAAGACCAUCGUUAGAACGGUCAAUAAGUCCAGUGGUAAACCCAGUUUUGUGAAUGUUUCACUUCUAUUGAUGGAUACUGUCAAUUCAUGUCAAUGAGAAUGAAGAGGCUGCAUUUCACUCAAAUAAAUACGAAUAAAUGCCUUUGUCUCCCAA